GGUAAAAUGGCUGAGUAUUAGGCAAUAAACUGUAAAUUUAUUUAGGGGAUUUUAAUCUCUUUUACCA
RNAcentral lists this transfer RNA (67 nucleotides) under Dyscolus orthomus. RNAcentral describes it as "tRNA-Tyr". Lineage: Eukaryota; Metazoa; Arthropoda; Insecta; Coleoptera; Carabidae. The record is from RNAcentral.